GUCAAUAUGUCCGAGUGGUUAAGGAGACAGACUCAAAAUCUGCUGAUGUUCAAUUUCUUACAAGAGGUUUUUCACA
Brassica napus (rape) is the source of this 76-nucleotide non-coding RNA. Lineage: Eukaryota; Viridiplantae; Streptophyta; Magnoliopsida; Brassicales; Brassicaceae. The record is from Rfam.